This 253-nucleotide ribosomal RNA is filed under the name uncultured bacterium. RNAcentral describes it as "partial 16S ribosomal RNA". It matches the Rfam family "Bacterial small subunit ribosomal RNA", at positions 524 to 776 of the family's 1533-position model. The record is from RNAcentral.
UACGUAGGGACCAAGCGUUGUUCGGAUUUACUGGGCGUAAAGGGCGCGUAGGCGGCGCGGUAAGUCACUUGUGAAAUCUCUGAGCUUAACUCAGAACGGCCGAGUGAUACUGCAGUGCUAGAGUGUGGAAGGGGCAAUCGGAAUUCUUGGUGUAGCGGCGAAAUGCGUAGAUAUCAAGAGGAACACCUGAGGUGAAGACGGGUUGCUGGGCCAACACUGACGCUGAGGCGCGAAAGCCAGGGGAGCAAACGGG